AGCCUUCCCUCUGCCAACCAAACGGCCUAUAUUGAAAAGGUCCGGUCUCGGCCGGACUAUGGGGAUAAACGCGCACGUAAUAAGCGGACUGGACCCGGGUGCGAUUCCCGGCGGCUCCACCAAUCUCUUCCGGGUUAUCACGGAACUGCAUGGGGCCGAUCAGCAUCGACAGACGUGUAAAGGUGUUAUGCUUUCUCUCGGCGUGGCUCACCGUUUCGGGCCGCUAAACUAAAUGCGAACGAUAACUUCGCUGAAGAGUUCGCCAUCGCCGCGUAAUGCGGUGCGGGUGAUCUCGCCUCUUAAGUCCUAGGGGUUCAGAUCCCUAGGCGGGGCCCGGAGGGAGCCUGCCAACAGAAUCCCUCCACU
Non-coding RNA from Caulobacter henricii, 366 nucleotides. It matches the Rfam family "Alphaproteobacteria transfer-messenger RNA". Rfam says of the family: Bacterial tmRNA, also known as 10Sa RNA or SsrA, is named for its dual tRNA and mRNA-like properties. Its role is to liberate the mRNA from a stalled ribosome. NCBI's taxonomy places the organism in Bacteria, Pseudomonadati, Pseudomonadota, Alphaproteobacteria, Caulobacterales, Caulobacteraceae. The record is from Rfam.